AGAGAGAGAGAGAGAGAGCAUUUUGGGAAUUUUCGCCACUUAUAUUUAAGAAACUAAAUACUUUAUAAAUGCUGAAAUUUAUUCAAUUUUAAGAGCCGGAUGAAUCAUUAAGGAAAAAUGAUUUAGGCAUAUAUAGAAUGAAUAUGCAGAAAGUUGAUAACAAGCAAAGCUGAUUUCCAAUCAAUUCUACCAAAAAGCAUUUCAAUAUAAAUUUCACCCUCAUAACAAUAAAAACAUAUUAUUUAAAAUUCAAGAAAACCAGCCCCAUAUCAUACGUCUAUCAACACCAGAACCAAAAUUCAACAGCCAGCAAUGCCAUCAAACAUCACACUAAACACCAUUUACCAGAACCAAAAUUGACACAACUUAUCCCUACAAUCCAAACAAAAACCCACGUAUUAAUUUCUAACGAUUAAACUCAAACAGGCAAUAUAAUUUCUGUUUAAAAUCCAUACUGUUUCACAAAGCUAAAGGUGCUCUGCUUUCUCUUGGCCUAUUGAAAUAUGGAUUGUUUUUGCUAGCUCUUGAGUACAGUGUAAAAAUUAAUCAAAUAAAACCAAAGCAUAAAAUAGGGACAGAUUUCAGAACUUACCCCACUGAGAAAAAUUGAAAUUGA
This 616-nucleotide unclassified non-coding RNA is filed under the name Hevea brasiliensis (rubber tree). The record is from RNAcentral. Lineage: Eukaryota; Viridiplantae; Streptophyta; Magnoliopsida; Malpighiales; Euphorbiaceae.